This 44225-nucleotide long non-coding RNA is filed under the name Triticum aestivum (bread wheat). Its description in RNAcentral is "long non-coding RNA (TAES_LNC021646)". Lineage: Eukaryota; Viridiplantae; Streptophyta; Magnoliopsida; Poales; Poaceae. The record is from RNAcentral.
AAUCAGCCCCUUACGAAGCAACGCAUAAACAAGGGUUUAAGCUUCUGCCACUCUAGCAACCCAUCAUCUACUUAUUACUUCCCAAUGCCUUCCCCUAGGCCCAAACAAUGGUGAAGUGUCAUCUAGUCGACGUUCACAUAACACCACUAGAGGAAAGACAACAUACAUCUCAUCAAAAUAUCGAACGAAUAUAGUCAAAAAAAUAUCGAACGAAUACCAAAUUCACAUAAUUACUUAUAACAAGACUUCUCUCAUGUCCUCGGGAACAAACGUAACUACUCACAAAGCAUAUAUAUAAUCAUAAUCAGAGGAGUAUUAAUUAUCAUUAAGGAUCUGAAAAUAUAAUCUUCCAUUGGAUAAACCAACUAGCAUCAACUAUAAGGAGUAACCAACACUACUAGUAACCCACAUGUAGCAAUCUGAGGUUUUGGGACCAAGAUCGAAUACAAGAGAUGAACUAGGGUUUGAGAGGAGAUGGUGCUAGUGAAGAUGUUGAUGGAGAUUGACCCCCUCUUGAUGAGAGGAUCGUUGGUGAUGACGAUGGCUUCGAUUUCCCCCUCUCGGAGGGAUGUUUCCCCGGCAGAACAGCUCCGCCAGAGCCCUAGACUGGUUUUGCCCACGUUCUGCCUCGAGACGGAGACGCUUCGUCCUGAAAGCUUCCUUCUAGUUUUUUCCAGGUCAAAACACACCAUAUAGCCAAUGAUGGUCACCAGAGGUUUGCCAGGGGCCCACAAGGUCGGGGGGCCGCCCAGGGGGGUAGGGCGCGCCCUCCACCCUUGUGGCUGUCUGGUGGCCCCCCUCUGGUACUUUAUUCACCCAAUAUUUUUUAUAUAUUCCAAAAACAUGCUCCGUGAAGUUUCAGGACUUUUGGAGUUGUGCAGAAUAGGUCUCUAAUAUUUGCUCCUUUUCUAGUCCAGAAUUCCAGCUGCCGGCAUUCUCCCUCUUCAUGUAAACCUUAUAAAAUAAGAGAUAAAAAGGCAUAAGUAUUGUGAUAUAAUUUGUAAUAACAGCCCAUAAUGCAACAAAUAUCAAUAUAAAAGCAUGAUGCAAAAUGGACGUAUCAACUCCCCCAAGAUUAGACCUCGCUUGUCCUCAAACGAAAGCCAAAAUCGAAAUGUCCACAUGUAUUGAGAUAGAGGUGUCGACAAAAUAAAAUACGGACAUGGGGGCAUCCUGAUCAUCUUUAGAAUAGCAACAUAUAUUGUCAUCUAAUUUCUAAUGCUAAAGUAACAAUUCGUUCACAAAGUAAAGUAUGAAUCAGAAACUUAAUUGAAAACUAACAAACUAUGAUCUCAAUCAUUGGAACAAUUGCAAUUUAUCAUAACAUUGGAAAGAGUCAAUUAAAGAGCUUUUCAACAAGUCCACAUACUCAACUAUCAUAUAAUCUUUCACAAUUGCUAACACUCACGCGAUACUUAUGGGUACAAAGUUUCAAUCGGACACGGAGAAAGAUAGGGGCUUGUAGUUUCUCCUCCCAACUUCUUUCCUCAAGGGUAAUGUCAACAACAAUACUUUAUGAAAACCUACAUCUGAGUGGAUAUAUAUAUCCAGAUCUCUCCAACAUAUAGUGGUUGCCAAGGGAAAAGGUAUAAAAAAGAAAAGUGAUGAUCACCAUGACUCUUGUAUAAGGGUAGAAGAUAAAGUAAAAGGUAGGCCCUUCGCAGAGGGAAUCAGAGGUUGUCAUGCGCUUUUAUGGUUGGAUGCACAAAAUAUUAAUGCAAAAGAAUGCCACUUUAUAUUGCCGCUUGUGAUAAGGACCUUUAUUAUGUAGUCCGUUGCUUUUAUUUCUUCCAUAUCACAAGUUCGUAUAAAUCUUAUUUUCUUCACACUAAUAAAUCAUACAUAUUUAGAGAGCAAUUUUUAUUGCUUGCACCGAUGACAACUUACUUGAAAGAUCGCACUCUAUCCAUAGGUAGGUAUGUGGUGGACUCUCAUGGGAAAACUGGGUUUAGGGAUGUUUGGAAGCACAAGUAGUAUGAGAGGGAAAUGCAAGCCCAACAUGUUGGAUGAUCCAUGACAAUAUAACUUCUAUUCGGAUAUAAGCAAACAUAACCUAUUAUGUUGUCUUCCUUGUCCAACAUCAACCUUUUAGCAUGUCAUAAGUGCUCAAAAUUACAAAAGAUGUCCAAGAUAGUAUAUUUAUAUGUGAAACCUCUCUUUCUUUAUUACUUCCUAUUAAUUGCAACAAUGACCAAAACUAUGUUUGUCAACUCUCAACAACUUUUAUUCAUCGUACUCUUUAUAUGUGAAGUCAUUACUCUCCAUAAGAUCAAUAUAUGAUCUUUUUAUUUCUUUUUGUUCUUUCUCCUAUUUAAUUCCCUCAAGAUCAUAGCAAGAAAGCAAAGCCCUUAACUCAAAACUACUCUUUAUUAUAUAUAUCCCAAGGACUCGAUUACAUAGAGGGAACAUAAAAAAAAACUCAAUGCUAGAUCAUACUAAAAACUUUAUUCUACUAGAUCAAGAUAUAACCAAAAGGAUCAAACUACGAAAAACGAUAAAGAUAAAGAUGUGAUGGUGAUACUAUACCGGGGCAAUCCCCCAAGCUUGGCAGUUGCCAAGGGGAGUGCCCAUACCAAUGUGUUUAGAUCUCUUUCUUCGGAGGUGGUGAUGAUGGAGUUGUUGCAUUUUUCUUCUCUAGCUUGCGUCUGAGGCUAAAAUUUUCCUCCCUCAGAUCCCCAUUCUCGAGCACGAGUUUCAUUAUAUUUUUGCAUAAUGCCGCCUUGUUGUCCUACAAAAAACAUGGUGGAAUAGAUUGGACCUUAGGGAGGCUUGACUUCUUGAACUCCACAUGCAUAUCGCCAGGGUGAGGUGGUGGAUCCUCCUUUUCAUUGGAGCUUGUCUCCUCCUUCCCCUUUGGAUCAUAGUCUUCUUCUUCGUCCAUUGUCCAGCCAUUGAUGGUAGCUGAAAUUAUGCCGGUAUUUCCCUUGAGAGGGAGGGAUGAUGUAGCACAGCGACGGUAGGUAUUUCCCUCAGUUAUGAAACCAAGGUAUCGAACCAGUAGGAGAACCAAGCAACACAACAUAAAUAGCACCUGCACACAAAUAACAACACCUCGCAAACCGACGAGUUAAAGGGGUACGGAACCUCAAGAUAGGCAAGCGGGCAUGAGGGAAAUUGUAGUAGAUUGAUAGAUCGAACGCCAAAUAAAAUAAAUAAAGAUAAAAUGCAGCAAGGUAUUUUUGUAUUUUUUUUGUUUAAUAGAUCUAAAUAAAAAUGCAAAGGAAAAUUAGAUCGCAAGGCAAAUAUAUGAGAAAGAAGACCUGGGGGCCGUAGGUUUCACUAGUGGCUUCUCUCGAGAAAAAAAGCAAACGGUGGGUAAACAAAUUACUGUUGGGAAAUUGAUAGAACUUCGAAUAAUUAUGAUGAUAUCCAGGCAAUGAUCAUUACAUAGGCAUCACGUCCAAGAUUAGUAGACCGACUCCUGCCUGCAUCUACUACUAUUACUCCAGACAUCGACCCCUAUCCAGCAUGCAUCUAGUGUAUUAAGUUCAUGGAAAAACGGAGUAAUGAAAUAAGAACGAUGACAUGAUCUAUACAAGACCCGUUUACCUAUAUGACGGUAAAUAUAGAUCUCGUCUUUUAUCCUUAGUAGCAACGAUACGUAUGUGUCGUUUCCCUUUCUAUCACUGGGAUCGAGCACCGUAAGAUCGAACCCACUACCGGACACCUCUUUACAUUGCAAGAUAAAUAGGUCAAGUUGGCCAAACAAAACCCAAAUAUCAGAGAAGAAAUACGAGGCUAUAAGAGAUCAUGCAUAUAAGAGACCAAAGAAACUCAAAUAACUUUCAUGGAUAUAAAAAGAUAUGACUAAUCAUAAACUCGAAGUUCAUCAGAUCCGAAUAAACACACCGCAAAAGAGUUACAUCAUAUGGAUCUCCAAGAGACCAUUGUAUUGAGAAUUCAGCGAGAUAGAGAGAAACCCAUCUAGCUACUAACUACGGACCUGAAGGUCUACAAGGAACUACUCACGCAUCGUUGGAGAGGCACCAAUGGAAGUGGUGAACCCCUCCGUGAUGGUGUCUAGAUUGGAUCUAGUGGUUCUGGACUCUGCGGCGGCUGGAUGAAUAUUUCGUCGACGCUUCUAGGGUUUCUGGAAUAUUGUGGUAUUUAUAGAGAAAAGAGGCGGUCCGGGGGGCACUCAAGGUGGGCACAACCCACCAGGGCCCUGGCGUGCCCUGGUGGGUUGUCCCCUCCUUAGGACUCCCCCCAGGUGCAACCAGGGCUCAUCUGCUUCCUUUUGGCCCAUAAAAAAUCAUCGUGAAGUUUCAUGGCAAUUGGAUUUUGUUUGAUAUUGAUUUCCUGCGAUGUAAAAAACAAGGAAAAACAGCAACUGGCACUUGGCACUAUGUCAAUAGGUUAGUACCAAAAGAUGAUAUAAAAUGACUAUAAAAUGAUUAAAAAACAUCCAGUAUUGAAAAUAAAACAGCAUGGAACAAUCAAAAAUGAUAGAUACGUUGGAGACGUAUCAGCAUCCCCAAGCUCAACUCCUACUCGUCCUCGAGUAGGUAAGUGAUAAAAACAGAAUUUUGAUGUGGAGUGUUGUUCAUCAAGUCAUAUCAUAUUCUUUUCUUUAUAGCAUGGACAUUUGGACUUUUAUGUGAUUCAAAGCAAUAGUCUAGUUUUGACAUGAUAAUUUAGAUACUCAAGCAUAUCAACAAGCAACCAUGUCUUUCAAGAUAUCAAUGCUAAAACAAGGUAUCCCGAGCCUAUCAUGCUCAAACAUUGAUCCAUUCAUGAAACACACUCGAAUAUUAACUACACCCAAUACUUGACCACGAUCAUAUUGCCUCAUAGUUGGUGCUUUUUAUGAGAAAAGAUGGAGACUCAAAUUUCAAAAUAAAAAUUGCAUAAAGUAAAAGAAAGGCCCUUCGCAGAGGGAAGUAGGGAUUUGUAGAGGUGCCAGAGCCCAAAGCGAAAGAUUAGAGAUAAAAACAUUUUGGAAGGUGUAUCCAUCCCACAAAUGAAAACGACUUAGAGUUCCCAGCACUUUCUAUGCCAGAUAUGCCAUAGGCGGUUCCCAAACAGCAAAUAAACUUUAUUCCUUUUUCCACCAUUCUUUCACUUUCCAUGGCUAGCCGUAUCCACGGGUGCCCUCCAUACCAACACUUUCCAAGGAAUUUAUUAUUUGGCAACAUAAAGUAAAUUCAAUCUUUUUGCAUUUCGGGACUGGGCAUCCCUAAGACCUUUGCCUUACUCUCGUGCAAUUACAAGCAAAUAAACACUCAUCUUGAGAAUAACACAUCUAGCAUGGAAAAUAUUAGCCACCCAUUACUGUUCCGCGAGCAAAACAAACACACAAAAGAGAAGUUUAUUUUGAAAAUUAGAGAUGAUACAUGUGAAUUUGCUUAGAACGGCAAAAUAAUACCGCAUAUAGGUAGGUAUAGUGGACUCAUGUGGCAAAACUGGUUUAAAGGAUUUUAGCACAAGUAAAGAUCAUACUUGGUGCAAAAUGAAGGCUAGCAAAAGAUUGGGAAGCAACCAACCAAGAAACAAAUAAUUUCAUAAGCAAGCAUUAAGCAUAAUUAACACUGAAUAAUGCACCAUAAGUAGGGUAUAAUUUUCAUUGCAUGAUUAUUGGCUUUCUUCCAUGCAUAGGGAGUCACAAACCUUAACACCAAUAUUCCUACUAGAGCACAAUUACUCAUCAACAUAACUCACAUAUCACAUCAUCAUAUCUCAAAACUAUUACUAAGAAUCAAGUUUAUUUUGUCCAAUGAUAUUAAUGACAUUUUCUUUUACUUUAUCCUUCUUGGAUAUCUAUCACUUUGGAGUAAUUUUCAUGUGUUGCUUUUCAUAAGCUCAAACAAAUAUAAGUGAAGAUCAUGAGCAUAACAAAUUUUCUUUCUCUUAAAAUAAUUUAAGUGAAGCAAGAGAGCAUUUCUUCGAAAUUUUACCUAAUCUCAAAUAAAUCUAAGUGAAGCAAGAGAGCAUUUCUUCAAAAAUAACAAGGCACACCAUGCUAAAAAAAUAUAAGUGAAGCACUAGAGCAAGUCCUAGCUCAUAAAAGAUUUAAGUGAAGCAUGGAGAUCAAUUCUAACAAGUCGUGAUAUAAUUUUUGGCUCUCUCAAAUAGGUGUGUCCAGCAAGGAUUGAUGACUUCAAACACAAAAUAAAACAAGCAAAGACACAUAUCAUACAAGACGCUCCUAGCAAAACACAUAUCAUGUGACGAAUAAAAAUAUAGUCUCGAGUAAAAUACGGAUAGUUGUUGGAAGAAAGCGGGGAUGCCACUCGGGGGCAUCCCCAAGCUUAGUUGGUUGCUCAUUACUGGAUAAUAGCUUGGGAUGCCGGGGCAUCCCCAAGCUUAGGCUCUUACAUCAUUUCUUCAUCCAUCGUAAGAUAACCCAAAACUUGAAAACUUCAAUCACACAAAACUCAACAAAGCCCUUGUGAGAUCCGUUAGUAUAAGAAUAAUAAAUCACUACUAUAAGUGAUGUAUCAAACCAAUUCAUAUUUUGUUUUUGUAUUAUAUCUACUGUAUUACAACUUUUCUAUGGAAAAAACUCAUCAAAGAAAACCAUAGAGCCAUCAAAAUAAGCACACAACACAAAGAAAACAGAAUCUGUUAAAACAGAACAGUAUGUAGCAAUCCGACUAUUUCGAAUACAUCUGGAACUCAAAAAACUCUUAAAAAUUAGGAUGUCGUGAGAAAUUUGUAUAUUGAUCUACUGAAAUUGGAAUGGAUAUUUUAUCGCUCUCUGGUAAAACAUGAAAAUUAAUUUUGUGAGCGUAAAAGUUUCUAUUUUUCAGCAAGAUCAAACAACUAUCACCCAAGAAGAUCCUAAAGCCUUUACUUGGCACAAACACUAGUUAAAACAUAAAAAACACAAUCAUAACAGUAGCAUAAUUGUGCUAACACUCAAGAACAUAAAGAAAAAAAGCAAAAAUAAAUUUUAUUCAUUGGGUUGCCUCUCAACAAGCGCUAUAGUUUUACGCCCUUAGCUAGGCAUAAGAUUUCAACGAUGCUCACACAAAAGAUAAUAAUUGAAACACAAAGAGAGCAUCAUGAAACAUGUGACAAACACAUUUAAGCCUAACAUACUUCCUAUGCAUAGUAAUUUUAUAAGAAAACAAAGUAUCAUGACAAGAAACAUCUAACAUAUGCAAAGAAGAGGAAAACAUUGACGAUCUUAACAUAACAAGAGGUAAUUUAGUAACAUGAAAAUUUCUACGACCAUAUUUUCCUCUAUCAUAAUAAUUACAUGUAGGAUCAUACUCAAAUUCAACAAUAUAACUAUCAUAUAAAAAUUUCUCUUCAUGAUCCACAGGCAUGCAAAGUUGACACUCUUCCAAAAUAGUGGGACUAUCAUUAAAUAAAGUCAUGACCUCUCCAAGCCCACUUUUAUCAAAAAUUUCAUAAGAUUGAUCACUCUCCAAAAAAGUGGGAUUAUUUUUAGCUAAAUUUGAGAAUCUACCAAACCCACUUUAAAUAUUAUAGCAAGCAUAUUCAUCGUGAGGUUUAAAUAAAUUUUCAAGAUCAUAAGAAGAAUCACCCCAAUCAUAAUCAUUGCAAUAAGUAGUGGACAUAUGAAAAUUAGCAUCCCCAAUCUUGGGGUUUUGCAUAUUAUUAGAACAAUUGACAUUAAUAGAAAUUAUAGUAAAAUUAUUGCAAUCAUGCUUUUCAUUCAAGGAGCUAUCAUGAAUCACUUCAUAAAUUUCUUCAUCUCAAAUUUCAGAUUCACGAUUCUCAAGCAAAAAUUCAUAAAGAUAGUUUAGUGCACUCAACUCACUAGCAAUUGGUUCAUCAUGAUUGGAUCUUUUAAAAAGAUUAGCAAGUGCACGGGGAUCCAUAUCAAUAGAUUUUUAGCAAGUGAAGAUGCAAGCACAUAGAAGGCACAUGGCAACACAAGCAAACAAAAGAUCGGACGAUAAAAAGGCGAAUGAAAAAGAGGGCGAAUAAAACGGAAAAUUUUUGUGAAGUGGGGGAGAGGAAAACGAGAGGCAAUUGGCAAAUAAUGUAAAUUGCGAGGAGAUGAGAUUUGUGAUUAGGAACCUGGUUAUGAUGAAGAUCCUCCCCGGCAACGGCGCCAGAAAGGCACGUGGCCGGGAGACUAUCUUGACUUGAUCCUCCCCGGCAACGGUGCCAAAAAAUUUCCUUGAUGGUAGCAGAAACUAUGUUGGCAUUUCCCCGGAGAGGAGGGAUGAUGUAGCACAGCGAUAGUAGGUAUUUCCCUUAGUUAUGAAACCAAGGUAUCGAACCAGUAGGAGAACCAAGCAACACAAUGUAAACAACAACUGCACACAAACAACAACACCUCGCAACCCGACGAGUUAAAGGGGUUGUCAAUCCCUUUCGGGGUACGUCGCCUCAAGAUAGGCAAGCAGAAGUGAGGUAAAUUGUAGUAGAUUGAUAGAUCGAACGCUAAAUAAAAUAAAUAAAGAUAAAAUGCAGCAAGGUAUUUUUGUAUUUUUUUGGUUUAAUAGAUCUGAAUAAAAAUGCAAAGGAAAAGUAGAUCGCAAGGCAAAUAUAUGAGAAAGAAGACCCGGGGCCGUAGGUUUCACUAGUGGCUUCUCUCGAGAAAAAAAAGCAAACGAUGGGUAAACAAAUUAUUGUUGGGAAAUUGAUAGAACUUCAAAAAAUUAUGACGAUAUCCAGGCAAUGAUCAUUACAUAGGCAUCAUGCCAAGAUUAGAAGAUCGACUCCAGCCUACAUCUACUAUAUUACUCCACACAUCGACCGCUAUCCAGCAUGCAUCUAGUGUAUUAAGUUCAUGGAAAAUAGAGUAAUACAAUAAGAACGAUGACAUGAUGUAGACAAGAUCUGUUUAUCUAUAUGGCGGUAGAUAUAGAUCUCAUUUGUUUAUCCUUAGUAGCAAUGAUACGUACAUGUCGUUUCCCUUUCUAUCACUAGAAUCGAGCACCGUAAGAUCGAACCCACUAUUGGGCACCUCUUCCCAUUGCAAGAUAAAUAGAUCAAGUUGGCCAAACAAAACACAAAUAUCGGAGAAGAACUACGAGGCUAUAAGAGAUCAUGCAUAUAAGAGAUCAAAGAAACUCAAAUAACUUUCAUGGAUAUAAAAAGAUAUGACUGAUCAUAAACUCGAAGUUCAUCAGAUCCCAACAAACACACUACAAAAGAGUUACAUCAUAUGGAUCUCUAAGAGACCAUUGUAUUGAGAAUUCAACGAGAGAGAGAGAGAGAGAGAAAUCCAUCUAGCUACUAACUACGGACCCGAAGGUCUACAAGGAACUACUCACGCAUCAUCGGAGAGGCACCAAUGGAAGUGGUGAACCCCUCCGUGAUGGUGUCUAGAUUGGAUCUGGUGCUUCUGGACUCUGCGGCAGCUGGAUGAAUAUUUCAUCGAGCUUCUAGGGUUUCUGGAAUAUUGUGGUAUUUAUUGAGCAAAGAGGCGAUCCGGGGGACACCCGAGGUGGGCAUAUCCCACCAGGGCGCGCCAGGGCCUCCUGGCACGCCCUAGUGGGUUGCCCCUUCCUUUUGGCCCAUAAAAAGUCAUCGUGAAGUUUCGUGGCAUUUGGACUUCGUUUGAUAUUAAUUUCCUGUGAUGUAAAAAACAUGAAAAAACAAUAACUGGCACUUGGCACUGGCACUUGGCACUAUGUCAAUAGGUUAGUACCAAAAAAUGAUAUAAAAUGACUAUAAAAUGAUUAUAAAACAUCCAAGAGUGAUGAUAAAACAGCAUGGAACAAUCAAAAAUUGUAGAUACAUUGGAGAUGCAUUAGCCAUAAUGUUCCACAUGAAGGAAAUAUGCCCUACAGGCAAUAAUAAAGUUAUUAUUUAUUUCCUUAUAUCAUGAUAAAUGUUUAUUAUUCAUGCUAGAAUUGUAUUAACCGGAAACAUAAUACAUGUGUGAAUACAUAGACAAACAGAGUGUCACUAGUAUGCCUCUACUUGACUAGCUCGUUGAUCAAAGAUGGUUAAGUUUCCUAACCAUUGACAAGGUUGUCAUUUGAUUAACAGGAUCACAUCAUUAGGAGAAUGAUGUGAUUGACUUGACCCAUUCCGUUAGCUUAGCACUCGAUCGUUUAGUAUGUUGAUAUUGCUUUCUUCAUGACUUAUACAUGUUCCUAUGACUAUGAGAUUAUGCAACUCCCGUUUACCGGAGGAACACUUUGUGUGCUACCAAACGUCACAACGUAACUAGGUGAUUGUAAAGGUGCUCUACAGGUGUCUCCGAAGGUACUUGUUGGGUUGUCGUAUUUCGAGAUUAGGAUUUGUCACUCCGAUUGUCGGAGAGGUAUCUCUGGGCCCUCUCGGUAAUGCACAUUACUUAAGCCUUGCAAGCAUUGCAACUAAUGAGUUAGUUGCGGGAUGAUGUAUUGUGGAACGAGUAAAGACACUUGCCGGUAACGAGAUUGAACUAGGUAUUGAGAUACCAAUGAUCGAAUAUCUGGCAAGUAACAUACCGAUGACAAAAGGGAACAACGUAUGUUUUUAUGCGGUCUGACCGAUAAAGAUCUUCAUAGAAUAUGUGGGAGCCAAUAUGAGCAUCCAGGUUCUGCUAUUGGUUAUUGACCGGAGAUGUGUCUCGGUCAUGUCUACAUAGUUCUCGAACCCGUAGGGUCCGCACGCUUAACGUUUCGAUGACAGUUAUAUUAUGAGUUUAUAUGUUAUGAUGUACCGAAGGUUGUUCGGAGUCCCAGAUGUGAUCACGGACAUGACGAGGAGUCUCGAAAUGGUCGAGACAUGAAUAUCGAUAUAUUGGAAGCCUAUGUUUGGAUAUCGGAAGUUUUCCGGGUGAAAUCGGGAUUUUACCGGAGUACCGGGAGGUUACCGGAACCCCCCGGGGCUUGAUGGGCCAUAGUGGGCCUUGUGGAGAAGAGGAGAAGCGGCCAGGGAAGGGCCGCACGCCCCUCCCCCUAGUCCGAAUAGGACAAGGAGAGGGGGGCGGUGCCCCCCUUUCCUUCCUCUCUCCCUCCUCUUUCCCCCUCCACUCCUAGUCCAACAAGGAAAAGGGAGGGAGUCCUACUCCCGGUAGGAGUAGGAAUCCUCCUGGCGUGCCCCCUCUAGGACGGCUGCACCUCCCCCCUUGCUCCUUUAUAUAGGGGGGCAGGGGGCACCCUAGAGACAACAAUUGAUCGUUUGAUCUUUUAGCCGUGUGCGGUGCCCCCCUCCACCAUAGUCCACCUCGGUAAUACUGUAGCGGUGGUUAGGCGAAGCCCUGCGUCAGUAGAACAUUAUCAUUGUCACCAUGCCGUCAUGCUGACGAAACUCUCCCUCAACACUCGGCUGGAUCGGAGUUCGAGGGUCGUCAUCGGGCUGAACGUGUGCUGAACUCGGAGGUGUCAUGCGUUUGGUACUUGAUCGGUCGGAUCAUGAAGACGUACGACUACAUCAACCGCGUUGUGCUAACGCUUCCGCUUUCGGUCUACGAGGGUACGUGGACAACACUCUCGCCUCUCGUUGCUAUGCAUCACCAUGAUCUUGCGUGUGCGUAGGAAUUUUUUUGAAAUUACUACGUUCCCCAGCACCACAUCCCCAAACACUUUUGGGUUUGUGACAUAAUCGGCCAUGUAGCUCUAUCCCUUUGAAUCUCGGGACGACAUCUUGCUCCAAAUCUGCUACAGAAACAACUCAAAAUGAAAAUAGAGGAUUUUAUCGUGGUACGGUGGUCAAAACCUUCGGAAGAUUAUAUAAUGAAUUUUUACCGACCAAAAGAAGUAUCGUGCAAGAAAACAGAGUUCGGAGGGUACACGAGGUGGCCAGAAGGACGGGGGGCGCGCCCUCCACCCUUGCAACUGCCUCGUGUCUCUUUUGGACUACUUUUAAUUUUCCUAAUUUUUUAAAUAUUCCAAACGGAGAAAAUUUAUCAUUGGAAACGUUUUGGAGUUGGUUUACUUACCGCACCACAAAGCUAUUCCUUUUCGGAGUAUGAAACAUUCUGGAAAGUGUCCCUUAUGUACUCCUCCGGGGUUACGUUAUCAAUUAUAUUGGUUUCAACAUUUAUGGGAGUACCUGUGAUAUAAUGUUUAAUUCUUUGACGAUUUACCACCUUUGGAUUUGUGCCUUCAGCAUUGUUGAUAUUUAUGGCACCGGAACGAUAGACCUCCUCGAUAAUGUAAGGGCCUUCCCAUUUACAGAGAAGCUGUCCUGCAAAGAAUCUUAAAUGAGAGUUGUAUAGCAAAACAUAAUCACCUACAUUAAACUCACAGUUUUGUAUCCUUUUAUCAUAGCAUCUUUUAACUUUUUCUUUAAACAACUUGGCAUUCUCAUAGGCUUGAGUUCUCCAUUCAUCAAGUGAGCUAAUGUCAAAUAACCUCUUCUCACCAGCAAGUUUGAAAUCAUAGUUGAGCUCUUUAAUAGCCCAAUAUGCCUUACGUUCUAGCUCAAGAGGUAAGUAACAUGGUUUUCCAUAAACCAUUUUAUACGGAGACAUACCCAUAGGAUUCUUAUAAGCAGUUAUAUAAGCCCAUAAUGCAUUAUCAAAUUUCUUAGACCAAUUAUUUCUAUAUCUAUUAACAGUCUUUUGCAAAAUUAAUUUAAUCUCUCUAUUGCUCAAUUCUACUUGACCACUAGACUGAGGAUGAUAUGGAGAUACAAUUCUAUGGUUAACAUCAUACUUAGCGAGCAUUUUACGGAAAGCACCAUGAAUAAAAUGUGAACCACCAUCAGUCAUUAAAUAUCUUGGGACUCCAACCCUCGAAAAACUAACUUCUUUAAGCAUCUUAAUAGAAGUGUUAUGAUCAACAGUACUAGUUGGAAUAGCUUCUACCCACUUAGUAACAUAAUCAACGGCAACUAAACUAUGUGUAUACCUGUUAGAGGAAGGAAAAGGUCCCAUAUAAUCAAAGCCCCAAACAUCAAAUGGUUCAAUAACAAGUGAAGAGUUCAUAGGCAUUUCCUGACGUCUACUAAUAUUACCAAUUCUUUGACAUUGAUCACAAGACAAGACAAACUUACGAGCAUUCUUGAAGAGAGUAGGCCAAUAGAAACCAGAUUGAAAUACCAUAUGUGCAGUUCUAUCUCCAGCGUGGUGUCCUCCGUAAGACUCGGAGUGGCACUUGUGUAGGAUCUGUUCCUGUUAAUGCUCAGGUACACAACGUAUAAUAACACCAUCUACCCCUUCUUUAUAAAGGUGUGGGUCAUCCUAGAAGUAAUGUCUUAAAUCAUAGAAAAACCUUUUCUUUUGCUGAUAGGUGAAACUAGGUGGUAUAAAUUUAGAACAGUAUAAUUAGGAUAAUCAGCAUACCAUGAAGUAUAAUGAGAAGCAUUUAUGACAUUUAAUUGUUCAUGAGGAAAACUGUCAUCAAUAGGCAGUGGGUCAUCAAGAACGUUUUCUGUAAAAUCCCAAAUUUUCAAUUUGGAAUGUUAUACAUAGGUCAUUCAUGCAUAUCAUAUUUUUAUUGCAUUUCACUUUGCGAUCCUCCAAAUUCUAAGCAACUCAAGGACCCAUGGAGAGAGUUGGGGAUUUCACGUUUUUCAUAUUUGAUUUUUAUCAAAUAUCGAAACAAGGAUCACUUUGGUUUUUAAUUAUUUUUCUCUCCGAAAAUAUUUCAUAUUAAAAUAUAAGAGAGGAGAUAAUAUGACUUCUCCAAAAUAAAGGGAAUAUUGGAGGAAAAAUAUUAAAAAUCAAAUAAAUGUUUUCUUUUGGACUUUUAUUGCUAUUUUAUUUGAAUUAGGAAAAUAUGUGUUUUUCAAAAUUGCAUUAGAGGCCCAAAUAAAUGUUCACUUUGUCUGCAAUACUAUUAGAGGACCGUGAAAGAUUAUUUUAGGAUUUUUGGACUCCGUUUAGUAUUUCUUUUAUUUGUUUUUCCGCGUUAGGAUUUUUUUAAAUGCUCUGACCUAAUGGGCUGUGCCCGACCCGGACAACGCCCGGCCGGCUUUUAAAGGGCGAGACUCGAAGCCCGCAGCGCCGCCAGCCCCGCCCCAAAACAGUGCCACCGCCUCAAAAACCCCGCCAUCACCGCCGCCACCCGCCCACCAGAGCCGCCGCCGAUCCCGCCGCCGCCGCCACUCGCCGUCGGUAGAAACCACUGCCCCCACCGUCUUGGUUUUUCUCAGAAAACCGAUCUGUUUUUUUAAUAAACCCUAGAUUCGUUUUUUAUUACAUCGGUUUGGUUUUUUUGUUUUAGUUAAAUAACGGACGAUUGUCCGUACGUUCAUUUUAACGAACGCUAUUCGUUAGUUAGCCAUAGACAGCGAACGUUCGUUCGUUAGCCUAUUCGUCUCGUUUUUUUCCAGGGUUUUUCCAUGAUUAUUUUCGAUCGCGAUUUCUGCCCUAAUCUUCAUUCUUGUAUAUCUUCUCACUCAUUUAUACAAAUCAGAUGAAACAAGCACCUAGAUCUUUGUCUCGAAGUCCUCUUUCUGUUUAACCAACUUGAAAAAGAUUUUGGUACUGUAAAAUUUGACUUUACUCUAGAUCUUGUUUCUUUCAUAGUUUGAGUUUCGGUUGCUCCGUUUGAUUUGAUUCUUUUUGCAAAAUCGAAUCUUUUCAGUCGAGUUUUCAGAUUCGAUCAUCUUAUUUGAGUUUUACUUGUGCAUCUUUGCUUGGGUGAUUAUGUAUGCUAUUGCUUGUUUGCGAUAGAAUUCCCGAAGUGCGAAGCGUGCUUCUACGAGUCUCUAGGUUUUGCGGAUCAUCAGCAAGGCAAGUAACACUUUGAUCGUACCCCUUUAUUACCCAGUUUUUAUGCAUUAGUUUCAACCCUCACACAUUACAUGAGUAGGAUCUCUUAACAUGUGGGUCUAAGAAGUAGCUGAUGAGGUAGAACCUAUUACCUAUUUUAUUAUCAAACCCUUGGGAGUUACUUCUACGCUAUGCUUAUAUUGCCAUGCUUGCCCCUAGACGUGGUUUGGGUUUGAGUGUAACCAUGACAGAUGAGAGUUGUUAAUUAAUGGUUCAACUUAAGGUGGCAACUUUAAUACAUAUCUGGGUGGAUUGCUUGUGGGAACCUGGAGAAUCCAGUGUUGUCGUAGGAUAACUCGGAGUACCCGUGUGAUCAUCCUACGGUCCACCACCCAGUCUCAAAGGGAUCAUAAGAUUAUUCAUGCUAGAAACUUCCGUGUGCAGCCACAAGCCAUUAUGGGCUCUGACAUAGUUGAGUAUGUUGCGUGACCUCUUUCAGUGGUGGGCUAGCAGAUGUAGGGGAAAGUAGGUGUAACAGUUCACCCAGGGUAAAGAGUUAAUGCUUCUGAAAGAGUGUGUCUCGGUCAUCCGUUUCUCAAACACCAUGUAGUGUGGGAAAUCAUACGGAGGAGAUCGAGUCUUGUGGGGAAAAGUGCGCAAACCUCUGCAGAGUGUAUAAACUAAUCAUGGUUAGCCGUGUCCCGGUUAUGGACAUCUUGAGUAUCUGGUACUUCAAUUAUUGAUUUGAUCUCAUCACUCUAAAUUAAUUUGACGGGUGUUAAUGACUACUUUAAUUGGGAUUGAGUUGGAGGAACCUUCUCAAUGAUGUUUCAACUACCAUGAUAGUUAAAUUAAACAUAUUCCUUUGUUGUAGGGAAAAAUUGGCUUUUCGCAAAACAAUAUAACCAUAGAGUCUCCACCAGCCAUAUAUGCAUGUAGUGAUAGCAUUUAUCUGUUCAUUGCUCUAUCGUGUUAUAUUGCGAGCAUAUUCCAUGUGCUGACCCAUUUCGGGCUACAACAUAUCAUGUUGCAGACUUUUCAUACGAUGAGUAAGGUGCCAUAGGUCGUUUGUCGUGUACUCAGCUAUGCCGUUGGAGUUGAUGGACUCACUUUAUCUUCCAAGCCUUCCGUUGUUAUCUUAUUUAGAUGGCCUUAAGCCAUAUUUAUUGUAAUAAGUUCUCUUUUAAGACAUUUGAUGUAAUAAGUGUUUGAUUGCUACUCUGUUAUAAAUCCUUCGAGUAUUGUGUGUGUCAGCAUUACCGAUCCAGGGAUGGCACUGAACAUAGGGAUUUGACCAUCUAAGGUAGGAUCUCUACAAGAUGGUAUCAGAGCACACGUUGAAUGUAGGACACGACCACUAAGAUGAGCCAUAGGUCACUCUUCUCUACUCAUUUCUGACUCCUCUCCAUUUUCUACUCCUUAGGAUAGCAGACGCAAGGAACAAGUUUACACAGCCGAAUGAAGAUACACCCUUUGGACGACACUCGAAGGAAGUCACUAGGUAUCUGAACAUCGGAAUGCGAAGCUUCACCGGGACCUACACUGCCACACUACCAGAAGAGGAGCGAUGGUUGAUUCGAGUUCAAGUUUCAGGAAGGACAAUCACGCCAGUCAUUGAGCCCAUAGAGUUUUCCUUUGAUGCACCAACCUGGAGUCUGGGCAAGAGCAUGGCAGCCCACAUCGCCAUGGGACGCAUCGGUGAAUUUUAUCACAAGGAGCUUAAGGACACUAUCUACCAGAUAUGUGGGCGCCGAGAUGAGCAAUGGAAGAUGAUCAGCACCAGGAAGGACAUGUCCAUUGCAGCGUUCAUCUAGGAGUUAAAUCAUCACAUUCGUCGCCAGGAGAACUAGCUGUGCGCAAGAAUGAUAGAUUUGAAGAAGGCGAUGACCAGGAUCACAGAGAUAGAAGAGGAACGCAAGUCUACACACGAUGGAUAUGAGGAGGAAAUGACGAUGCUUGUGGAGAAGAAUGACGACCUGACAAGGAAGCUAGGAGUUUUCAUGGGAGACCCCGCGCCAGGAGGAGAAGAUGACGAAUCUGAGGAGAUUCGUUCUAAAGACUACAUCAUCAUUGACGACACCGACUCCGCCCCUGAUGGUAGUGAUGAUGAUUAUGAAGAUGAAGCUCGAGCAGAUAUCAUGGAGUCUUCCACUGAUCAAAUUCUAGAUGACCACCAUAUGAUUAGUAGUAUUCCCCCCAUGUAUAUAUUAGUAGUCUGAGCACUGUAAUGAUAGUUAGAUCAAAUAUAUGCCCUUGCUUGAUAUUGUUUUGGUGUGAUAUUGAUUGUGUUUUGUCUCAUGUGCAUAUGGGUAGUGCUUUCUCAUUAGACCUCAGUCUAUUCUAAUCUGUCCCCUCUAAACCCAUCAGAUGCCUCCGAGACGUGACCCCGGAUUUGCUUUUCCACCGGAGCUCACUCAUUUGAUCCAGCAGCAGAAUACAGUGAUGUAGUUGCUAGUUCAGAAUUAGGGCAACAACAACAACAACAAUAACAACAACCCACCCCCACCACCUCCAGUUGACAACUUAGCCCGUUUUCUAAGGUUACAACCACCGGUGUUUUCCAGUAGCACCGAGCCCAUAGUUGCGGAUGACUGGCUACGUAGGAUUGGAAGGGAGUUGACCGCUGCCGGUUGCACAGAUGCUGAGAAGGUGCGUUUUGUCGCACACCAAUUGGAUGGACCCGCAGCCGCAUGGUGGGAAAAUUACACAACCACUUUCCCUAUAGCCAAUAUUACUUGGGAGCAUUUUCAGCAAGCAUUCUGCACUGCUCAUGUCUCCACCGGAGCUAUGAGUAUGAAGAAGCGUGAGUUUCGCAACUUAUGCUAGGGCAACCGUACUAUAGGGCAGUACGCGGAGGAGUUUAGCAAGCUAGCUCGUUAUGCCCUAGAUGACGUGGCCACCGAUGCCGCGAAACAAGAGAAGUUUAUGGAAGGGCUGAACGAUGAGAUGAGUAUGCAGUUGAUGGUGGCAACAUUCAACAACUACCAGGAGUUGGUAGAUAAGGCUCUUAUGAUUGAAGGGAAGCAACAGCAGAUUGAGAGCCGCAAGAGAAAGUAUGGGCAAGGAAAGUACAAUUUAGGAGCUCAACAGAAACCUUGUAUCACCCUGAACCCGGGAGGAUUUACACAUAACAAUGGAGGCCAUAACCACAAUGGAGGAAUUCUGCAUAACCACCAUGGCCCUGGGAAUGGAAAUGGGAGUGGAGCAGGCAGCAAUCAGAACCGCUCUAACCCAAGCAUGCCCGCCAAGAAGGAUUUAAGUCACAUCACUUGUUUCAAGUGCGGGACGACUGGACACUACGCCACUGAGUGUUUUGAAGCAAAGAAUGUAAAUGGCAAUUGAAGCUCUGGGAAGAAGCCCAACCCUUUCAACAAGGGACAAGUGAACCACGUGAACGUGGAGGAGGUUGAGGAGUAGCCAGAUGCAGUUAUCAGUAAGUUUUUGGUUAAGUCAUUUACUACUGUAGUUCUUUUUGAUACCGGUGCAUCGCAUUCAUACAUUUCAAGGGGAUUCAUGGAUAAAUAUAAGUUUCCCACUAAAGUAUUAGGACAUCUAUGUUUGUAAGCUCACCAGGAGUAGAGUAUAUGGCAAGUCAGGGAUGUUUUCAGAUGCCAUUGACCAUAGGUAGGCAUGUUUUCCCCUCAGACUUGAUAAUUUUGGAGUCACAAGGAUUGGAUGUGAUACUAGGAAUGGAUUGGUUAUCGAAGUAUGAAGGUAACAUUGACUGUGCUAGUAGGUCAAUUCUACUCACCACCCCGGAGGGAAAAAGAAUCAGGUAUGUUUCGAGGCAUGCAUCAAGCAGGGCCCAAGUAAAUUCUCUUACGGGAGUUGUUCAGGAAGAAGUGCCCGUAGUAAAGGAUUACCCAGAUGUAUUUCUAGAGGAGUUACCAGGUAUGCCGCCAGACCGAGAUAUUGAGUUUUUGAUAGAGCUAUUGCCAGGCACUGGACCAAUAUCGAAGAGACCAUACCGGAUGCCUGCAAAUGAUCUGGAGGAGAUUAAGAAACAGAUUAAGGAGUUAUUGGAGAAAGGUUACAUUCGACGAAGUUCGUCACCAUGGGGAGCCCCAGUUCUCUUGGUUGAGAAUAAGGAUAAGUCUCUGAGAAUGGUUGUUGAUUAUCGUGUGUUGAAUGAAGUAACGAUCAAGAACAAAUACCCACUGCCGAUGAUCAAUGAUCUGUUUGACCAGCUGCAACGAGCAAAAGUCUUUCCAAGAUCGAUCUUCGAUCAGGAUACCACCAGCUGAAGAUUCGAGAACAAGAUCUACCUAAGACAACUUUCACCACCAGGUACGGGUUGUAUGAGUACACAUUUAUGUCAUUCGGAUUGACUAACGCCCCUGCCAAUUUCAUGAGUAUGAUGAACAAGGUGUUCAUGGAGUUCUUGGAUAAAUUUGUCGUGGUGUUCAUUGAUGACAUUUUGGUGUACUCGAAGAAUGAAGAAGAGCAUAAGGAGCAUUUGCGCUUAGUUCUCGAGAAGCUCAGGGAACACCAGUUAUACGCCAAGUUCAGCAAAUAUGAGUUUUGGUUGUAGGAAGUUGGAUUCCUUGGAACAUGUUAUAUCAAGAGAGGAUAUAGCGGUACACCCUACCAAGGUUCAGUCAGUCAUUAAGUGGUUGGCACCCACCUCAGUUGGAGAGAUCCGCAGUUUUCUUGGACUCGCGGGAUAUUAACGGAGAUUCAUUGAGAAUUUUUCUAAGAUUGCGAAGCCCAUGAUGGCAUUGUUGAAGAAGGACACCAAGUUCCAUUGGACUAAAGAAUGUGAAGCAAGUUUCCAGGAGUUGAAGAAACGUUUGACUACGGCCCCAGUGCUGAUUCUGCCAGAUAUACGCAAGGAUUUCCAAGUGUAUUGUGACGCCUCUCGCUUAGGACUUGGAGGAGUACUUAUGCAAGAUGGAAGAGUUGUUUCGUAUUCCUCACGUCAACUUCGACCGCAUGAGUUGAAUUAUGCCACCCAUGAUUUGGAGUUAGCAGUUGUAGUGCAUGCGCUCAAGACCUGGAGACAUUUUCUUAUUAGAAACCAUUGUGAUGUGUACACGAAUCACAAGAGUUUGAAGUACAUUUUUACUCAGAAGGAGCUAAACCUCAGGCAGAGGAGAUGGUUGGAGCUCAUAAAGGAUUAUGAUAUUAAGUUGCACUAUCAUCUAGGAAAGGCCAAUGUCGUAGCAGAUGCUUUGAGCCGGAAGAGUUAUGUCAAUACCCUCAUAAGCGGAGGAUUGCCAAAGGAGUUAGCAGUAGAUCUCAGGGAGCUUCGUUUGGAAAUCGUCUGUAACACCCAUGAUGCGGCUAUAUCUCCCACGUGUCGGAGCACGACUUAGAGGCAUAACCGCAUAGUAGGCAUGUCGCAAGAGGGGUAAUCUUUACACAUCCCAUGUACUGAAUAAGAAAGGGAUACAGAGUUGGCUUACAAUCGCCACUUCACACAAUACAUAAAUAUAGCAUUACAUCAUCCAGAAUACAAUCAAGGUCCGACUAUGGGACCAACAUAAAUAAAGACAACCCCAAAUGCAUAGAUCCCCGAUCGCCCCAACUGGGCUCCACUACUGACCGUCUGAAAAGGAAACAUAGUAAUGUCCUGAAUCCUCGUCGAACUCCCACUUGAGUUCGGUAGCGUCCCCUGCACUAGCAUCAUCGGCACCUGCAUCUAGUUUUGGAAGUAAUCUGUGAGUCACGGGGACUCAGCAAUCUCACACCCUCGCGAUCAAGACUAUUUAAGCUUAUGGGUAGGAAAAGGUAGUGAGGUGGAGCUGCAGCAAGCACUAGCAUAUAUGGAGGCUAACAUACGCAAAACAAAGCGAGAAGAGAAGCAAGGCACGGUCGAGAAACUAUAAUGGUCAAGAAGUGAUCCUGAAACUACUUACGUUAAAGCAUAACACGAGACCAUGUUCUCUUCCCGGACUCCGCCGAAAAGAGACCACCACGGCUACACAGGCCGUUGAUUCAUUUUAAUUAAGUUAAGUGUCAGGUUUUCUACAACCAGAUAUUAACAAAUUCCCAUCUUCCCAUAACCACGGGCACGGCUUUCAAAAGUUCAAAACCCUGCAGGGGUGUCCCAACUUAGCCCAUCACAAGCUCUCACGGUCAACGGAGGAUAUUCCUUCUCACAGGAAGACCCGAUCAGACUCGGAAUCCCGGUUACAAGACAUUUCAACAAUGGUAAAACAAGACUAGCAAAGCCACCCGAAUGUGCCGACAAACCCCGAUAGGAGCUGCACAUAUCUCAUUCUCAGGGCACACCGGAUUGUCCAAGAUUCCUGUAGGCCAACCCAGAGUUGCCCCUGGUGGCCACCGGCUGCUGACAGGUUGGACCAACACUCAGAGGAGCACUGGCCCGGGGGUUUAAAAUAAAGAUGACCCUUGACUCCGCGGAACCCAAGGGAAAAGGCUUACGUGGCAAAUAGUAAAACCAAGGUUGGGCCUUGCUGGAGGAGUUUUAUUUAAGGUGAACUGUCAAGGGGUUCCCAUUAUAACCCAACCGCGUAAGGAACGCAAAAUCAAGGAACAUAACACCGGUAUGACGGAAACUAGGGCGGCAAGAGUGGAACAAAGCACCAGGCAUAAGGCCGAGCCUUCCACCCUUUACCAAGUAUAUAGGUGCAUAAGUAAACAAGAUAUACUAAUGAUAUCCCAACAAUAACCAUGUUCCUACAUGGAACAAACUCCAUCUUCACCUGCAACUAGCAACGAUAUAAGAGGGGCUGAGCAAAGCGGUAACAUAGCCAAACAACGAUUGCUAGGACAAGGUGGGUUAGAGGCUUGACAUGUCAAUACGGGAGGCAUGAUAAAGCAUGUGGUAGGUAUCACGGCAUAGCAAAAGAGCGAGCAACUAUCAAGCAAAGAUAGAAGUGAUUUCGAGUGUAUGGUCAUCUUGCCUGCAAAGUUCUCCGAGUUGACGAAGGCUUGAUCCUCGUAAGCGUACUCAACGGGUUCCUCGAUCAUGUAAUCGUCUCACGGAUCUACCCAAAGCAAGAACAUAAGCAAAGGAAACCACAAUCAACCACGGUGCAAUGCGCAAGCAACAUGAUGCAAAACAUGGCAUGAGAUGCGGGAUGUGAUAUGCAAUGCAUAUGCGUGCUUCGGAAAGAAAAUACUGAACCAUGCCUCAACUUGGCAAACUAAGUGCUUCACUGGAAUAUGAGUUGAUUUCGGUCGAAAUCGAUAUAAAGAUCACCGGAAUCGGAUGCACGGUUUGCAAAUGGCAAGCAAAACAAGAAUGGCACAAUUCUGCGAUUAACAGCAUGAUGCCAUCUAGAAUACAACAAGAAUCUAAGCUACUGCACUCCAACAUAGCAACAAAGCACAUGGACGUGAUCUACUCAAGAUGCUUGACAAAAGAUGAACAGCGAGAUACGGCUAAUUCACACAAUAGUAGGUUCAAACAAGCAUGGCAAAAGUGCAAAAAAUAUCAGCAUCACAGACUUAGUGAAAAUACUAACAUGUCAGGAUUUAACAUCAGGAAGCAAUGUUUAGAGCAAGCUAACAACAUGCUACAGGAUCAUAUCAUAGCAACCAAAGGCAUGGAAUGAAUCUACUAAAAGUAUAGAACAAAAGUCCGUUGCUGACCAUAAGUCAUAAGGGCACAUAAAAUAUUAUGGCACCCAUGUAAACAUAGCAAGUUUCGUUAACAGAUUCAGACUUAGCAGAAAACUGGACAUGGCAAAAACAGAAUUAUGAAGGCAUCGUUGCGAGCUCGAUUCACUCACCACAAGGCAUUGCAUGACAAACUAAGCAUACUACCAGCAAGAAGACAUGUUCAUGAAGCUAACCAAUGCAAGAACAAACUUAUAGCAUGUAUUGAUCAACUACAACAACCUUGGCAAAAUUGAUUAACACGUAAACAAUCUGCCAGGAACAUUUUAUAGCAAAAGUAGAGCAAGAUUGAGUCAUGCUAGGGCACUCCAUAAAUGCAAACAGGGGCAUAGAUGGAUAGAUCACAACCAUAUGUCCAAAUCAUCCUUACUGAACAUGCUCAAAAGAAGCAUGGAUUACUCUGUAGCAACAUGAAUAUACGGCAUAAAAAUAAUAGAAGGGAAAUGACUUGGUGAAAUUCUAUGUCCCUGAAAUCAGCAAUACCACGAGAGCUACUUUGUAUGCUUGUGCUAGUUACCACAUUGAUCAAAAAAAUACAUGGCAUACACCCCUGUAAAUAUGGCAUGGCAUAGCCCAAAACACAUGUAGAGCUCAAGUCCAUAGGAAGCACACAACAAAUGUAGCAAAAAUGAUAAAUGCUCAUAUCUGCUAAGUAGCAGGAACUAACAUUUUAUAGCACUCUUGAAUCAACAAUUGGGUAUCAAGAUGGACUCAAAGAAGCAUAACACAAUGGAACAAAAUGAAGAGCACAACCUGAUGAACAUUCUGAUAUAUCAUGCAUGCAAAAUGGAUUUACGGAUGAGGAGUUAUGAUGCGAUGAAUAGGGGCUGAAAAUACUGCAGCAAAAGGACUUAGAAUAUUUCAGGGGUCAACCUAAGGAUUCUAGAUCUGGAUCUGGCACAUUCCACGAGGUUUGCCGGAGCAGUUCGCCGGAGUUGAGAGGUCCUGUGGCCGGAGAGGUGCGGGGGCUCGCCGGAGGGGUGCGGAAGAGGCGGAUCCGGCGCUCGGACGGAGGAGGCCGAUGAUGGCGUCGCGGUGGCGCACCNNNNNNNNNNNNNNNNNNNNNNNNNNNNNNNNNNNNNNNNNNNNNNNNNNNNNNNNNNNNNNNNNNNNNNNNNNNNNNNNNNNNNNNNNNNNNNNNNNNNNNNNNNNNNNNNNNNNNNNNNNNNNNNNNNNNNNNNNNNNNNNNNNNNNNNNNNNNNNNNNNNNNNNNNNNNNNNNNNNNNNNNNNNNNNNNNNNNNNNNNNNNNNNNNNNNNNNNNNNNNNNNNNNNNNNNNNNNNNNNNNNNNNNNNNNNNNNNNNNNNNNNNNNNNNNNNNNNNNNNNNNNNNNNNNNNNNNNNNNNNNNNNNNNNUGGGACGGCGAGGCUCGCGGGCGGCGGUGCAGAGAGACGGGCCGCAGGGGCCGUCCUCGGGCCCGGGUGGGCCGGCGGCGCGGGGGCGGUGGUGCUGCCACAUGGCAUGUUGCGGUUGGACGGGCGCGGCGGCGGGUUUCGUCUGGCGUGGACGGACACAUCCGGCGCACAGAGGGGAGAGGUAGCUAGGGUUUGGACCCGAAAAUUCGGAGGAGUGCACAUAUUUAUAGGUAGAGGGAGCUAGGAGAGUCCAAAUGAGGUGCGGUUUUCGGCCACGCGAUCGUGAUCGAACGGCCGAGAGGAUCGAGGGGGUUUGGAUGGGACAUAUGGCUACUUUACAGCGGUGUUGGGCUGCAACACACACGAGGCAUUUACGGUUCCCCGGUUAACCGUUGGAGUAUCGAACGAACUCCAAAUGGCACGAAACUUGACAAGCGGUCUACUGGUGGUGUACCAAGGCUGCUUGGCAAAUCUCGGUCCAUUUCGAGAAAGUUUAACACCCGCUCACGAAAAGAGGCAAAAGGGGGCGCCGGAGGACGUAGGAGUGUCGGAAUGCAAAACGGACAACGGGGAAAAUGCUCGGAUGCAAGAGACGAACACGUAUGAAAAUGAGAUGCACAUGAUGGCAUGAUAUGAAAUGCAUGACAUGGAAAAAAUGCAAAACGAAGACAAAACCCAACCACGAGGAAAUCUCAUAACUUAGAGUCGAAAAUGGCAAGAGUCAGAGUACAAAUAUGGCAAAUUACAUCCGGGGCAUUACAUCGUCCCUAUAAGUUUUGUUGCAGCAUUGGAGGUUCAAUCAACGUUAUUGGGAAAGAUUCGAGAAGCUCAGAAGCAUGACAAAGAUAUUGCAGAGAUAAAGAAGAAGAUGAGUGAAGGAAAGCCAAAGGUUUUCGUGAGGACGAGCACGACACCUUGUGGUUCGAGGACCGUGUUUAUGUGCCCAACAAUGCAGAUAUCAGGAAGUUAAUACUAUAGGAGGCACAUGAGUCACCAUACUCGAUACACCCCAGAAACACCAAGAUGUAUUUGUAUUUGAAGGAGCGUUUCUUGUGGACUGGUAUGAAGAAGGAUAUUGCUGAGUAUGUUGCCGUAUGUGAUGUAUGUCAGAGAGUGAAGGCAGAACAUCAGAAGCCAGCAGGAUUACUGCAGCCUAUGCUGAUACCCGAAUGGAAGUGGGACAAGCUUGGCACAGAUUUUAUCACCAGAUUACCCAGGACCCGAUCGGGAUAUGAUUCUAUCUAGGUAGUAGUGGAUCGCUUGACCAAAGUAGCUCACUUUAUCCCCGUGAAGACCACUUAUACCAGUGUGAAGUUGGCCAAGAUAUAUAUGACCAUGAUCGUAUGUCUGCAUGGAGUCCCGAGGACCAUCGUAUCAGAUAGAGGAACGCAAUUUACAUCAAAGUUUUGGCACCAGCUGCACCAGACGUUGGGUACCAGGCUAGAGUUCAGUACAGCUUUUCCUCAGCACACAGAUGGACAGACUGAGAGAGUCAAUCAGAUUCUGGAGGACAUGUUGAGAGCGUGUGCGCUAGAUUAUGGAUCUAGUUGGGAUGAUAAUUUGCCCUAUGCGGAGUUCUCAUACAAUAAUAGCUACCGGGCCAGUUUGAAGAUGGCACCUUUCGAAGCCUUGCAUGGAAGGAGGUGCAGAACACCGUUGAUGUGGGAUGCAGUUGGAGACCGUCACUUGUUUGGACCAGAUUUGAUUAAGGAGUCCAAAGAAAAGUUAAGCUUAUUUGAGAUAGACUGAAGGUAGCUCAGUCCAGGCAGAAGAGUUAUGCAGAUUCAAAACGUAAGGAGGUAGUCUAUGAAAUCGGAGAUAGAGCAUAUCUCCGUGUGUCACCACUACGAGGAGUUAAACAUUUUGGAGUUAAGGAAAAUUUAGCCCCGAGAUUUGUAGGACCAUACAAUAUUUUGGACGCAUGGGAGAGCUUGCCUACAAGCUCGAGUUACCCGAAGGACUGUCAGGAGUUCAUGAUGUGUUUCACGUUUUCUAGUUUAAGAAGUGCCAUGCAGAGAUGGCCGAUAUACCCCUGAGAAAUACAGUGCCCCUAGAAGCAAUUCAGUUGGAUAGUGAUUUGACAUAUGAGGAGAAACUAGUCAAGAUUCUCGAGUUUGCCAGCCGAGUUACUCGCAGCAAGGUUAUCAAGUUUUGCAAAGUUCAGUGGAGCCACCAUACCGAGGAUGAAGCCACCUGGGGACGAGAGGAUGAUCUACGCAAAGACCACCCACACCUAUUUUCUAGCCAACCCGAAUCUCGAGGACGAGAUUCAUCUUAAGGGGGGUAGGUUUGUAACAUCCCAAAUUUUCAAUUUGGAAUGCUAUACAUAGGUCAUUCAUGCAUAUCAUAUUUUUAUUGCAUUUUGCUUUGCGAUCCUCGAAAUUCUAAGCAACUCAAGGACCCACGGAGAGAGUUGGGGAUUUCACAUUUUUCAUAUUUAAUUUUUAUCAAAUAUCGAAACAAGGAUCACUAUGGUUUUUAAUUAUUUUUCUCUCCGAAAAUAUUUCAUAUUAAAAUAUAAAAGAGGAGAUAAUAUGAAUUGUCCAAAAUAAAGGGAAUAUUCGAGGAAAAAUAUUAAAAAUCAAAUAAAUGUUUUCUUUUGGACUUUUAUUGCUAUUUUAAUUGAAUUAGGAAAAAUAUGCGUUUUUCAAAAAUUGCAUUAGAGGCCCAAAUAAAUGUUCACAUUGUCCGCAAUAUUAUUAGAGCACCGUGAAAAUUUAUUUCAGGAUUUUUUUAAAAAAAAUGCACCAACCUAACGGGUCGUGCCCGACCCGAACACUGCCCGGCCGGCCUUUAAAGGGCGAGGCCCGAAGCCCGCCGCACCACCAACCCCGCCCCAAAACCCUAGCACCGCAGCCUCGAAAACCCCACUGCCGCCACCGCCACUUCGCGCCGCCGCCGCUCGACGCCGCCGCCCGACGCUGCCGCCUCCCCGUUGCGCCGCCGCCGCCGAUCGCCGCCCGCCAGAGCCGCCACCGACCACCCGCCCGCCGGAGCCGCCGCUGAUUUCUCCGUCGUCGCCACUCAUCGGAGGUAGAAACCGCCGCCACCGCCGUCUCGGUUUUUCUCAGAAAACCAUCGGUGUUUUUAGUAAACCCUAGAUUCGUUUUUUAUUAUAUCGGUUCGGUUUUUCGGUUUAGUUAAAUAACAAACGUUAUUCCGUACAUUUGUUUUAGCGAACGCUGUUCGUCAGUUAGCCGCAGACAGCGAACGUUCAUUCGUUAGCAUGUUCGUCUCGUUUUAUUUUCCAGGGGUUUUCCGCGAUUAUUUUCGAUCGCAAUUUCUGCCCUAAUCUUCAUUCUAGUAUAUCUUUUCGCUCGUUUAUCCUAAUCUGGUGAAACAAGCGCCUAGAUCUUCGUCUCGAAGUCCUCUUUCUGUUUAACCAACUUGAACAAGAUUUUGGUACUAUAAAAUUUGACUUUAGUCCAGAUCUUGUUUCUUUCGUAGUUUGAGUUUCGUUGCUCCGUUUGAUUUGAUUCUUUUUGGAAAAUCAAAUCUUUUCAGUUGAGUUUUAUGAUUCGAUCAUAUUAUUUGAGUUUUACCCAUGCAUCUUUCCUUGAGUGCUCAUGUAUGCUAUCUUUUGUUUGUGAUAGAAUUCCCGGAGUGCGAAGCAUGCUUCUAUGAGUCUCUAGGUUUUGCGGAUCGUCAGCAAGGCAAGUAACACUUUGAUCAUACCCCUUUAUUACCCAAUUUUUAUGCAUUAGUUUCAACCCUCACAUAUGGCAUGAGUAGGAUCUCUUAACAUGUGGGUCUGGGAAGUAGCUGAUGAGGUAGAACCUAUUACCUAUUUUAUUAUCAAACCCUUGGGAGUUACUUCUAUGCUAUGCUUAUAUUUCCAUGCUAUGCCCGUAGACGUGGUUUGGUUUGAGUGUAACCAUGAUAGAUGUGAGUUGUUAAUUAAUGGUUCAACUUAAGGUGGCAACUUUAAUACACAUCUGGGUGGAUUGCUUGUGGGCACCUGGAGAAUCCAGUGUUGUCCUAGGAUAUCCCGGAGUACCCAUGUCAUCCUACGGUCUGCCACCCAGGCUCAAAGGGAUCAUAAGAUUGUUCAUGCUAGAAACUUCCGUGUGCAGCCACAAGACAUUAUGGGCUCUAGCAUAGUUGAGUAUGUUGCGUGACCUCUUUCAGUGGUGGGCUAGCAGAUGUAGGGAAAAGUAGGUGUAACUGUCCACCCAGGGUAAAGAGUUAAUGCUUCUGAAAGACUGUGUCUCUGUCAUCCUUUCUCAAACACCAUGUAGUGUGAGAAAUCAUACAAAGGAGAUCGUGUCUUGUGGGGAAAAGUGCGCAAACCUCUACAGAGUGUGUAAACUAAUCAUGGUUAGGCGUGUCCCCGGUUAUGGACAUCUUGAGUAUCUAGUACUUGAAUUAUUGAUUUGGUCUCAUCACUCUAAAUUAAUUUGAAGGGUGUUAAUGACUACUUUAAUUGGGAUUGAGUUGGAGGGACCUUCUCAAUGAUGUUUCAACGACCAUGAUAGUUAAAUAAAACAUAUUCCUUUGUUGUAGGAAAAAAUUGGCUUUUCGCAAAACAAUAUAACCAUAGAGCCUCCACCAGCCAUAUAUGCAUGUAGUGUUAGCAUUUAUCUAUUCAUUGCUCUACUGUGUUAUAUUGCUAGCAUAUUCCAUGUGCUGACCCGUUUCGGGCUGCAACAUAUCAUGUUGCAGACUUUUCAGACGACAAGUAAGGUGCCAUAGGUCGUUUGUCGUGCACUCAGCUGUGCCGUUCGAGUUGAUGGACUCACUUUAUCUUCCAAGCCUUCCGAUGUUAUCUUAUUUAGAUGUCCUUAAGACGUAUUUAUUGUAAUAAGUUCUCUUUUGAGACAUUCGAUGUAAUAAGUGUGUGAUUGCUACUUUGUUAUAAAUCCUUCGAGUAUUGUGUGUGUCAGCAUUACCGAUACAGGGAUGAUACUAAACGCAGAGAUUUGACCGUCUGAGGUCGGAUCGCUACAUUUUCUAACCUAGCACUACAAGAAAUAUGUCCACUUGUGACCAUCACUAUUGGCCGCUGAAAGGUCAUAGUUUUCCAUUUACGACAUUUUUGUAACCAAAAACAGAAGGUCAAAAGCUGGCGGUCGUAAACUGAAAUUAACGACCUUCUGUGUGAGAAGGUCGUAGACGUUUAUGACCAAAACAAAAGGUCGUUGAACCCAUGACCUUCUGUUUUGGUCACUGGCUGUCGGCCCAGGCCACGUCAGAUACGACAUGGCAAUCUGACGUGGAAAAAUUGUGACCAAUUGAAAAGGUCACUGACAAGAUUCACCCCGGUCCGAUUCGGUGUUUUACAUGGGCCGAGCCCAUUAAUUCAGCCUUUUAGGAUAUUUUUUUGCUUGAUGUUUUUGGGCCUUUUCUAUGAUGGGCUUUUACCUUCCACAUAGUUCAUUUCCUUUUUGUUUAUAUUUUCUAUUUGAGUCGAGGCCUGCUUAUAAUACUUCUGAAUAGCUUUUUAGCCCAGGUUAUUUUGGACCAUGACAUCUUAAUAGUACGAGUAUAUUUCGGUCGUGGCCACUAUGAGGUCCAGUAAGAACAUUUUUUCUAGAGAAUUUAAUGUUCAAGUAAAAUGUACACGACACAUUACAUGGAAAUAGCUCAUACAACAGCAGAUAAAUUUUCAUUUCACUCCUACUACAGCUCACUACAACAUAGACAGUACAUGACACUUCAUCCUUCAGUUUUUUGCCAGGCACUAGACGAGUACAUCUCACUUCAAAUAAACAGUACUGUUCUCGGAAGAAAAAUACACCACCGCACGCCAUGGUGCGCUGUAACACCCACGAUGCGGCUAUAUCUCCCACGUGUCGGGGCACGACUUAGAGGCAUAGCCGCAUGGUAGGUUUGUCGCAAGAGGGGUAAUCUUCACACAAUCCCAUGUACUGAAUAAGAAAGGGAUAAAGAGUUGGCUUACAAUCGCCACUUCACACAAAUACAAGUUUAACAUACAUCAUCCAGAAUACAAUCAAGGUCCGACUACGGUACCAAAUAAAAGAAGAAAACCCCAAUUGCUAGAUCCCCGAUCGCCCCAACUAGGCUCCACUACUGAUCAACAAGAAACGAAACAACACAAUGAAGAAGAUCUUCAUCGAGCUCCCACCUGAGCUGGGUUGCGUCACCUGCACUGGUAUCAUCGGCACCUGCAACUGUUUGGAAGUAUCUGUGGGUCAGGAGGACUCAGCAAUCUCACACCCUCACGAUCAAGACUAUUUAAGCUUAUGGGUAGGAAAGGGUAGUAAGGUGGAGCUGCAGCAAGCACUAGCAUAUAUGGUGGCUAACUUACGCAAAUGAGAGCGAGAAGAGAAGCAAAGAUCGGUCGAGAAGCUAUAAAGAUCAAGAAGUGAUCCUGAAACUACUUACGAUCAAGCAUAACACGAGACCGUGUUCUCUUCCCGGACUCCGCCGAAAAGAGACCAUCACGGCUACACACACGGUUGAUUCAUUUUAAUUAAGUUUAGUGUCAAGUUUUCUACAACCAGACAUUAACAAAUUCCCAUCUGCCCAUAACCACGGGCAUGACUUUUGAAAGUUCAAACCCUGCAGGGGUGUCCCAACUUAGCCCAUCACAAGCUCUCACAGUCAAUGAAGGAUAUUCCUUCUCCUAGGAAGACCCGAUCAGACUCGGAAUCCCGGUUACAAGACAUUUCAACAAUGGUAAAACAUGACCAGCAAAGCCGCCCAGAUGUGCCGAAAAAUCCCGAUAGGAGCUGCACAUAUCUCAUUCUCAGGGCACACCGGAUUGUCCAAACUUCCGGUAGGCCAGCCCAGAGUUUCCCCUAGUGGCCACCGGCGGCUGAUAGGUUGGACCAACACUCAGAGGAGCACUGGCCCGGGGGUUUAAAACAAAGAUGACCCUCGGGCUCCGGAAACCCGAGGGAAAAAGGUUGGGCCUUGCUGGAGGAGUUUUAUUCAAAGCGAACUGUCAAGGGGUUCCCAUAACACCCAACCGCGUAAGGAACGCAAAAUCAAGGAACAUAAACCGGUAUGACGGAAACUAGGGCGGCAAGAGUGGAACAAAACACCAGGCAUAAGGCCGAGCCUUCCACCCUGUACCAAGUAUAUAGGUGCAUUAAAGUAAAUAAGAUAUAAUAAUGAUAUCCCAACAAAUCCAUGUUCCAAACAUGGAACAAACUUCAACUUCACCUGCAACUAGCAACGCUAUAAGAGAGGAUGAGCAAAGCGGUAACAUAGCCAAACAAUGGUUUGCUAGGAAAGGUGGGUUAGAGGCUUCACAUGGCAAUAUGGGAGGCAUGAUAAAACAAAUGGUAGGUAUCGCGGCAUAGCAAUAGAGCGAGCAACUCGCAAGCAAAUAUAGAAGUGAUUUCAAGGGUACGGUAAUCUUGCCUGAGAUCCCGCAAGGAAGAAGAACGAGUCCAUGAAGAAGAGAAACGGACGUAGUCAAACGGAUCCUCACAAACGCGAUGUUAUCGGAACUAACCCGAAGAAGCAACACCGUAGAGAAGCAAACAACUUAGUAAACAACCAUCACAUAAUCAUGGCAUGAUGCACUACCAAGUAGGACGCAUGUCCAGUUUAAUGAAGCAUGGCAUGGCAAAGUGCAACAAACAACACUACAAAUUAAGUGGAGCUUUGCAUAUUGAAGAAAACACCACAUGACUUAUUUAGUUCUCUCUCGUUUAGGUACUCAACAAUAUUAAAUGUUGGUUAGCAUGGCAAGAGGUGAAGCAUAACAAAACUAUACUAUCUAAACAAUUUAAAUGGGGCUGGAUAUAACAAACAAAAAAUCCGGUAAAUCCCCAUAUGCAUUUAGCAAAUUAAUGCAAACAACAAUUUAAACAUUAUUGAUGUUGUUAUCAUGAUGCGGAUGACAUUUGCAAGUUUUAUGCAGGUUUUAUGAAAAUGUUAACAAGAGCAUAUUAUGAAGCAUUUGUCAUUGUGGCAGAAACAAAAGGGGUGCCACGGCAACAAAUCCAAAAAAUGACGCCACGGCAACAUUCCGGUUCCAGUAGCUCAUGGAGAUACUGGUGCAAAGGAAGUGUGGCGGGAGCGUGCAGAAGAUGGUGGGCUGAUCCCGGAUUCCGGGUGUCCCACGGGUUCAUGACAAGGCUAACGAGGAACGUGCAAGGAUCAAUCCGAACAUGGUGCAGACAACGGGUGCAUCUCAUACAACACAUGCAAACAUUCUCGGACGGUCGCGUAUCGGUUCGGUGUAAAGUAGAGGAAGUAGACGUUCUCGCCACGUUCAUAGUGGUAGUAGUUGUACUCAUGGCGUAGUGGAAGUAGUGGUUCACGUCGAUGGUAGUGGUACAUAGAAAACGUGGAGGAACUUGAGGGUCAUCGGUAGACGAUCACGGGUCUUCGGCGAUGGUUGUGGUACACGUUCCGUAGAUGUUCGGGCGGCAGUAGUGGUACACAUUUCGAAGGCGUUGGAGCCAUUGGUAGCGGUACUUGGUGAAUCUCGAAACGGUCUUGGCAUCUUCGCGCGUAGGGGUACUUGGCGUUUUCAUGUAAUAGAAUUUGAGGGGUCUCGACAUCGUGGUACUUGGCACAAUCCGCAUAGUCAUGCACUUGUCGUCGAGGGGCUUGACGGUCUUGACAAAAUGAAGGGGUACUUGGUAGUUGUUGUAGGGUGGCCUUCGGUGGACUUGGUGGAAACCACGACGUGUGCAGGAGGCAUACGACUCCAAAACGCCCACGACCGUGCGGAAGACCGCGGAGCUCCUGUUACGGGGAGGGUUCGUGGCGACGGCAGGAUGUGAAGGAGGGCGGCAGCUAGGCUGCGGCUGCGAUGCCCACAUGCACGAAGCAGGGGAGGCGAGCGAGCUGUCUACCUCGUCACCUCCUAACGAACAGGAACAGCGGCGGCUGCACCAGAAGCUUGGUGCGCGGCCAGAGCUUGGCAUCAGCGAGGGACGGUGGGGAAGGCGCGAGGCUGGACCGGCCGGAGCUCGAUGUGUUGCCGAGGGGAAUCGGAACCGACUGCCGAAGUCUUGAUCUAAAGAAAAGGAUGGCCAUGGCAUCCCUGCUCGACGGACUAGGGCCGUUUCGGGCGAUGAAGAUAGGUGCCCACAUCCUGGACCAAGCAGAGGACUUGGCGCGGCUACGACGACGAGGAAUCGAAUGAGGAGGUCGGGGAUGAGGCAUCGGGGCCGGAUCCUGUAUGGAGGAGGACACGGGCAAGGCGGUGGAAGGCGGGCACCGGUGCUCCUGCUCUGCUUUUGCGGGCAUGGGGACAAGGAGGUGGAGCUCGGGCGUCGUGGUUGUGGCUCGGGCGGUGAGGUCGCUAGGUGGAAGGAGGGGAAGGGAGACGAGCGAGAGGAGGAGGAUCGAGCGUCGGGCACGAGGGGAUCGAGCUGAGCUUUCCCUCGUGUGAUGUGUGUGCGGCGCUGCGGGAACUAGGAGUGGGGAUUCAGGGAGAUGGGGAUCGUGCAUGCCCCUUGGGCCGGCUAGGGUUAGGAGGGGCGACUGGGCCCUGGGAGGCUGGCCCAGUGGAGAGGAAAACAGCCAGGGGCCUGUUGGGCCGCUCUCUCCUACUCUCUCAUAUUUUUCUUUAACAGAAAACAAUGGAGAGAAGGGAAAGGAAGAUGGAGGGGUGUGAUGCCCCAAGACCGGAGCCGGCCAACUCCGGCUACCUCCUUUGCCUCGCACCCAGGGACUAGCGCGUGUGGUUGUUGACCAUGCUCGGGUCGGCCUCUACCCGUCCAGCGCGCGUGGCCGAGCUACCCUGCCUCGACAUACGACUACACGAUGAUGCACCAAGUUCCAUUUCAAAAAGUUCAAUUACAUCCGAUGAGGAUUUCGACAAGUACCACGACACCCGAAGUCCUCGGAUCCAUCAAGUUCCACUAUGAGAUGUACAACUACCGUCGACCUCGAAGACCUCGGAUUCACCAAGUUCCCACGAUGACAAGUGUGACCCUUCAGAUGCGCCAAGUUCGUCUACACAAAAACGCUAAGUACCCCUCAUGUCGGCAAGACCCGCAAGUCGGACCCAGAACGAUCGACGUCUCGUGGACCGUGUACAACUACCGUCGCCCCAAGGACAUUGGAUUCAUUAAGUACCGCUCCAAAAAUGAAACGUAUACCGCUACCAUCGCAAGAAUCGAGACCGACAAGUCCGAAUAUGCAAGUACCACUCCGGACCAUGUACGAAGACCGUCACCGAAGACCCGUGUAACGCGAAUGUCAAGUUCAACUACCGUCGCGAGAAACGCCUACUUCCCUCUAUGAACUCGUUCCGUCCGAAACGCAUGCUUCGAAGGUAUACCACCGAGACGACGCAUGUGGAUGAAUGCUUGCGAUGUAUGAGUUGGACCGUGUGUUGCUCCAUGUCCAAGUUGUUCCUUGCAUGAAGCCCUCUUUUGCCUAGCCACCAUCAUGUGGGAACCCAGAUCCGGGAGCACCCCAUCUUCUUGCAUGACACACUCGCACCCACUUCCUUUUGCACCGGUAUCCCCGUGAGCUACCGGAUCAUCGGAAUGUUGUCGCGGCAUCAUUUCCGUUUCGUCGCCGUGGCACCCCUUUCUUUCUACCACGGUGACACAAACGCUCUCAUCAUGCUCAUGUCAAAUUUUAAUAAAAAUUGCAUUAAAUUUGCACAUGUCAUCCGCAUCAUGUUAAUAACAUUUAAAAUGUUCAAAAUUGUUGUUUGCACGAAAUUGCUAAUGCAUAUGGGGUUUUACCGGAAUUGUUGUUUGAUGUUUCCGGCCCCAUUUAAAUUUCUUAGAUUGUGUAGUUUUCUUAUGCUUCACCCUCUUGCCAUGUUUAACAACAUUUAAUAUUGUUGAGUACCUAACCGAGAGUGAACUAAAUAAUUGAUGUGGUGUUUCGUCAAUAUGCACCCCGAUGCAUAUUGAGCUCCACUUAAAUUGUAGUAUUGUUUGUUGCACUUUGCCAUGCCAUGCCUCAUUAAAUCGGACAUGCAUCAUAUUUGGUUGUGCAUCAUCCCAUGUUUAUGUGAUGGUUGUUGACUUUGUUGUUUGCUUCUUUCCGGUGUUGCCUCUUUGGGCUAGUUUCGAUAAUGUCGCGUUUGUGAGGAUACGUUCGACUACGUCCGUUUGUCUUCUUCAUGGACUCUUUCUUCUUCCUUGCGGGAUCUUAGGCAAGAUGACCAUACCCUCGAAAUCACUUCUAUCUUUGCUUGCUAGUUGUUCGCUCUUUUGCUAUGCCGCGAUACCUACCACAUGCUUUAUCAUGCCUCCCAUAUUGCCAUGUCAAGCCUCUAACCCACCUUUUCCUAGCAAACCGUUGUUUGGCUAUGUUACCGCUUUGCUCAGCCCUCUUAUAGCGUUGCUAGUUGCAGGUGAAGAUGGAGUUUGUUCCUUGUUGGAACAUGAUUAUUGUUGGGAUAUCACAAUAUCUCUUAUUUAAUUAACGCACCUAUAUACUUGGUAAAGGGUGGAAGGCUUGGCCUUAUGCCUGGUGUUUUUUUCCACUCUUGCCGCCCUAGUUUCCGUCAUACCGGUGUUAUGUCCCUUGAUUUUGUGUUCCUUAUGCGGUUGGGUUAUAAUGGGAACCCCUUGACAGUUCGCCUUGAAUAAAACUCCUCCAGCAAGGACCAACCUUGGUUUUACCAUUUGCCACCUAAGCCUUUUUCCCUUGGGUUCUGCAGACUCAAGGGAUAUCUUUGUUUAAACCCCUGGGCCAGUGCUCCUCUGAGUGUUGGUCCAAACUAGAGCACCGUGCAGGGCCAUCCCUUGGCAACUUGGGUUACGUCGGCUCCUGUACGCUUAGCUUAUCCGGUGUGCCCUGAGAACGAGGUAUGUGCAGCUCCUAUUGGGAUUUGUCGGCACAGCGGGUGGUCUUGCUGGUCUUGUUUUACCAAUGUCGAAAUGUCUUGUAACCGGAAUUCUGAGUCUGAUCGGGUCGUCCUGGGAGAAUGAAUAUCCUUCGUUGACCGUGAGAGCUUGUGAUGGGCUAAGUUGGGACACCCCUGGAGGGAUUUGAACUUUCGAAAGUCGUGCCCGCGGUUAUGGGCAAAUGGGAAUUUGUUAAUGUCCGGUUGUAGAAAACUUGUCACUUAACUUAAUUAAAAUGCGUCAACCACGUGUGUAGCCGUGAUGGUCUCUUCUUGGCGGGGUCCGGGAAGUGAACACGGUGUUGGAGUUAUGCUUGAACGUAAGUACUUCCAGGAUCACUUCUUGCUCAUAGAUUCUCGAACCUGCCUUGCCUUCUCUUCUCGCUCUCAUUUGCGUAUGUUAGCCACCAUUUAUGCUAGUGCUUGCUGCAGCUCCACCUCACAUACCUUUUCCCUACCCAUAAGCUUAAAUAGUCUUGAUCUCGCGGGUGUGAGAUUGCGGAGUCCCCGUGACUCACAGUUUACUUCCAAAACCAGUUGCAGGUGUCGAUGAAACCAUGAAGGUGACGCAACCGAGCUCAAGGAGGACCUUGAUGAAGAUCAUGUUUGUUAUGUUGUUUCUGUUUCCAGUUGAUCAGUAGUGGAGCCCAGUUGGGGCGAUCGGGGAUCUGUAGCAUUAGGGGUAGUCUUCUUUUAUUUUGGUUUCGUAGUCGGACCUUGUUUGUAUCUGGAUGUUGUAAUGCUUUAUUCAUGUAUUAUGUGAAGUGGGGAUUGUAAGCCAACUCUGUACCUCUUUCUUAUUCAGUACAUGGGAUGUGUAAAGAUUACCCCUCUUGCGACACUGCCUUCAAUGCGGUUAUGCCUCUAAGUCAUGCUCCGACACGUGGGAGAUAUAGCCGCAUCGAGGGUGUUACAAGUUGGUAAUCAGAGCCUUCCCCGACUUAGGAUCCCCCUGCUUGAUCGAAUAACUGGCGUUAUUGAGUCUAGAAAAAUGUUUUGAGUCAUUUAGGAUUAUAUAUAUCAGAGAGUUGGAUUCUUUUUACUCCUCAGUCCCUUCGUCGCUCUGGUGAGGCAUCCUGACGUAGAGUUUUGACUCUUCUCUUCUCAAAUUUCACUACUUUUUUUUAGGAUCACGCGGGUAUCUUGGAAUCGUUCCGAUGGUUUUGUGACGAGAACAUUGUUGUUGGUGCCUCCUGACAUUUUGGGGUUGUGGCAGUGUCCCGGGGAGUUGAGCUCCGAGGUGUUGUCGUCACAAUUUUAUCGUUGCAGUUCUGGAAUACCUGAGUUUCGCCGACAUCGAAAAUCUCUUUUAUGCAUUUGUUGGUGAGAUAACCUCGAUGCCACCCAGUACUGGGGCGGGAGUUCGGGAGUAUUGCCAUAACUCGUAUAACGGAUGCUUUUUGAAGGUUGAGGUAAAUGAUUUCCGAAGGUUUCUUGGUUAUGUGUUGAAGGAUGGAUACAGCUGGAUGUAGGAUUUGUUAGUUUUGGGUGAGAUAUUAUGCUUCCCCUGUAUCCCCAACACCUGAUUGCAUAACCGGAAAGUUUCGGGAGUUUAUAUGUGGGAAUUCAAGUAGCUCUUAGGAUAUCUUUCCGACAGAUGCAUGAUAUGAGACUGGGGUUCGAUGUCUAGUGGUCCGCCCAUCCACGGUUGGUUUUAAAGUGGUCUCGUUGUGUCCUAAAGAGUCCUUGGCUAUGCCGACUCGGGGACACUUCGUAUGUCAUGUGCACGGACUUGUACAUGAUGGUGUUGUACGAUCGAGCCCGUGUGGGCCCCACCACGAAAAAUUCGGACGAAAUCUCUAUCAUAUGUUUGUUCCGGUUUGUUCUGCAAGACAAUCCUUUGUUUUAUUUUUCAGUUGUGGUAUUCGAGUUGCUUCGAAGUCAAAUGUUGAUUCCAUACUUUUCCUAAGCAGUGUUCUCAUAUUCCUAUGUGGUUACCAACCCUUCAUGUUAAUCGAGAUUGUCAUGUCAAUCCUUCUCAACCGGCGUAUUUCUCUUCAAGUGGAUCCAAUCUUUUUCAACAUCCGCAAGAUCAUCUCAGUUUUCUCAACGGUGUUUGUUUCAUCCGUCUCCAAGUUGUCUUUGUUUUCCCACCCUCCCACCCUUUCUCUUCAAGGACUCAGAUUUCUUAUUCAAAUAUCCUUUUAUUGAUGGGAAGCCUCUCCAUUCCUUUUCCGUCAAUGUUCUUAUCCGGUGAUUUUCAUGAAGAUCCUAAUGGAGCUUCAAGCUCAUCAUUCUUCAUUCUUUUCCUUCUACGGUGGAUUCAAUUCAAGCUUUUGAUGUUGAUUAUGUCCUUUAACUCGUUUCAGAUGUUUUCCAGGCCGGUGCACCUUAUUAUCAUUCACCUCCCACUAUUCAAUUGUCCUGGAGUGCUUAAGACAUCUAGAAGAUUCAUGUUUCCACUCUACAUUCGUUCAAGAUCUUUCGAGGAUGUUCCCUCAUUCAAGCCAUUUAAUUCAAUAGGCGCAAUCUAUCUUUAAAUCAUUCAAUGGUGUUUCUUUUGAGUGGGCCCUAACCCACAGGUUUUUUCCCAGGAUCUUACCAGACUCUUCAAUUUUCUCGGAGCUUCUCAAAUUCUUUUCCAAGUUUGACAUAAGAAUGAGUUAUCAGUCAAAUGCCUUCUCCAAGAUCUGUCACAUUCUUUUCAUCAUUAGUUCAACCUUUCUAUUUUUUUAUUCCGGAGUAUCUCAACAAUUCAUGGUGGUGUUUCUCAUCGUCAUUCUCAGAUUUGAAGACCGAAGAAGAUUUUCCUCUCAAUCUUGCUCCAUUCUCUUCAAAAUUCAUUGUUCUAGCCUAAUGCCAUCCUCUCAUAAUUGUUUUCGAUUGUGAGAAUUUUUUUCACCUAUCCGGAGCAAUUCAAGAUUCUUUUCAAUUUGAUUCUUCAAAGGCCAUCAUUUCGGGUUAUUCAUCCUCAGUUUUCAGCUAUUGUUCUCCAAAUCAUACUGGUGCAUCGAUCAAAUAUUCUCUAAUCAGCUCGUCAUCUCUUCGUUUCAGUUGUAUCUAAAUUCCCUCAAGUAUCUUCAUUCGUUCUCUAAUUCUUCCCGGUGUUUCGUUAUCUUUUCUUUGUUCGUAUCCAAUUCUUACGGUGGUUCAUUCAAGAUUCCUUUUCUCUUGGUAUCAUAUCAAUUUAUUCGUUCUUUCCAAUCUUACCGGUGGUUCGUUGAAGUCUUUUCUCUAGUUUUGAACUAUAUCUAUCUUAAUCCUUUUCAACGAGAAUAAGUAGUAUGUCAAAUCCGUUGCUUGUCAUCAAUCUAAAUUGGUGAAAGAUGUGCAUAACGUAAUUCUUAUUAUUGUUUUCAUCCAAGUGAUCUAAUUUCCUGCUUUCCAGAGUGGUUCAUCAUAUCACAUUCUCGGUUCGAGAAGCUUCAUCUUUUCUUUUUAGGAGUUGUUCAUGAUGAAUAAAUUCUUGUUUUUAGUUGUUCUUCUUUCUUUUCUCGGAGUUCCAAUCUCUCGCAAUUAUAUCACCAUGGAGAUCCAUCUAAAUCAUUGCAAGGAUUCACCUUGUGUUUUCAACUUCUCUUUCUUUUCGUUUGAUCAUUCUUUUACCGGAGUUCUUCAUGGAGGCGCUACAUGAUGGUUCAUAAAGGAUUUAAUUUCUUCUCGAAGUUUUCAUCAAGAGGAGCUCAAGCAUUCUUCAUCUUGCAAUCCGGAGUGCAAUUCUUUCUACCGUAUCAUUGGAGGUGGUAUUAUGUCAUUCUUGAUCAUUUGAGUUCAUGUUUCAUGAUUCACACGUUGUUAAGAAUGAGGUAUUUUAAAUCCAUCAACCUCUUUGUUGGAGGUAUCUUGUGUCAUGUUUCACCUAAAGCCUUCCCUAAGGAUUGUUGCUAUUUAUGGUGCUUAUAAAUGACCCAAGUUCUUCAUUUAUCCUCCCGGUGAAAUAAGUUUCUCGUCUCCUUGUUCAUAUCUAUCCAAUCUAUUGUUUCAGUUAGUGGUAGAAUUUCACCUCAUAGUUUUGAGAAGUUUUCCAUAAGCCCACAUCAAGCUUAUCCUUUCGUUGUUGUUAAUCCAACAACUCCGUUCUAGCAUUUGUUGUAAGCGUGCUCUCUCAAGAUCUUGUUUCUCUUCGUUCAUUCCAUUCCAUUCUUUCAUUUAUUCCGGAGGCUUAGUCAUGUUGCUCUCUUCACUCACCGUCUUAGAUUGUGGAGUUCAUGUUCUUUCCUUUGUUUAUCCAUUCAACCGGAGUGUCGUGUUUUCAUUCGAGCUCUCUCAUCUUAUCAAGUUUUACCUUCCUUUUCCAACCGGAGUUUGUCGUAUUUGCUCUUUAUCGUUCCUUGUACAUCUCGUCUCAAUCGGAGUCCUUGCUUGUAGUUCUUGUCCAUUGUAACCUUUUUCUUAUGUUUUCUAACCUACAAGGUUCUAGUAAUGUUCCUUGUUCCUCUGUUCCAACGGAGUGUUUUAAAUUUUAUUCAUCUUCGUUGGCUUCCUUCUUUCAAUUUGUUUAACCUCACAAGGUUCGCUCGUUUCACUCUUUUGUCAAAGAAGCAACUUAGUUUUACCUCUUCUCUUCAUCUUCCGUUUCCCUCCGGUGCCAUUCUAGAUCUCGGGACGAGAUCCUCUCGUAGUGGUGGAGUGUUGUGCGCCCCAAGACCGGAGCCAGCAAACUCCGGCUACCUCCUUUGCCUCGCACCCAGGGACGAGCGCAUGUGGUCAUUGACCAUGCUCGGGUUUGCCUCUACCCGUCCAGCGCGCGUGGCCAAGCUGCCCUGCCUCGACGUACGACUACACGAUGACGCACCAAGUUCCGUUUCAAAAUGUUCAAUUACAUCUGAUGAGGAUUUCGACAAGUAUCACGACGCCCGAAGUCCUCGGAUCUGUCAAGUUCCACUAUGAGAUGUACAACAACCGUCAACCUCGAAGACCUCGGAUUCACUAAGUUCCCAUGACGACAAGUGUGACCCUUCAGAUGCGCCAAGUUCAUCUACAUAAAAACGCCAAGUACCCCUCAUGUCGGCAAGACCCGCAAGUCGGACCCCGAACGAUCGACGUCUCAUGGACCGUGUACAACUACCGUCGCGCCGAGGACGUUGGAUUCGUUAAGUACCUCCGAAAACGAAAUGUAUACCGCUACCGUCGCAAGAAUUGAGACCGACAAGUUCGAAGAUGCAAGUACCACUCCGGACCAUGUACGACGACUGUCGCCGAAGACCCAUGUAACGCGAAUGUCAAGUUCAACUACCGUCGCGAGAAACGCCUACUUCCCUCUACGAAUCGUUCCGCCCGAAACGCAUGCUUCGAAGGUAUACCACCGAGACGACGCAUGUGGAUGAAUGCUUGCGAUGUACGAGUUGGACCGUGUGUUGCUCCGUGUCCGAGUUGUUCCUUGCACGAAGCCCCUCUUUUGCCUUGCCACCAUCAUGUGGGAACCCGGAAUUCGGGAGCACCCCAUCUGUUUGCAUGACACACUCGCACCCACUUCCUUUUGCACAGGUAUCCCCGUGAGCUACCGGAUCAUCGGAAUGUUGCCGCGACAUCAUUUCCGUUUCUUCGCCAUGGCACCCCUUUCUUUAUACCAAGGUGACACAAAUGCUCUCAUCACGCUCAUGUCAACUUUUAAUAAAAAUUGCAUUAAAUUUGCACAUGUCAUCUGCAUCAUGUUAAUAACAUUUAAAAUGUUCAAAAUUGUUGUUUGCACUAAAUUGCUAAUGCAUAUGGGGUUUUACCGGAAUUGUUGUUUGAUGUUUCCGGCCCCAUUUAAAUUGCUUAGAUUGUUUAGUUUUCUUAUGAUUCACCCUCUUGCCAUGUUUAACAACAUUUAAUAUUGUUGAGUACCUAACCGAGAGAGAACUAAAUAACUGAUGUGGUGUUUCGUCAAUAUGCAUCCCGAUGCAUAUUGAGCUCCACUUAAAAUAUAGUAUUGUUUGUUGCACUUUGCCAUGCCAUGCCUCAUUAAACCAGACAUGCAUCAUAUUUGGUUGUGCAUCAUGCCAUGUUUAUGUGAUGGUUGUUUACUUUGUUGGUUGCUUCUUUCCGGUGUUGCCUCUUCGGGCUAGUUCCGAUAACGUCGCGUUUGUGAGGAUCUGUUCGACUAUAUCCAUUUGUCUUCUUGAUGGACUUGUUCUUCUUCCUUGCGCGAUCUCAGGUAAGAUGACCAUACCCUCGAAAUCACUUCUAUCUUUGCUUUCUAGUUGUUCGCUCUUUUGCUAUGCCGUGAUACCUACCACAUGCUUUAUCAUGCCUCCCAUAUUGCCAUGUCAAGCCUCUAACCCACCUUGUCCUAGAAAACCGUUGUUUGGCUAUGUUACCGCUUUGCUCAGCCCCUCUUAUAGCGUUGCUAGUUGCAGGUGAAGAUGGAGUUUCUUCCUUGUUGGAACAUGAUUAUUGUUGGGAUAUCACAAUAUCUCUUAUUUAAUUAACGCACGUAUAUACUUGGUAAAGGGUGGAAGGCUCAGCCUUAUGCCUGGUGUUUUGUUCCACUCUUGCCACCCUAGUUUCCGUCAUACCGGUGUUAUGUUCCUUGAUUUUGCGUUCCUUACGUGGUUGGGUUAUAAUGGGAACCCCUUGACAGUUCACCUUGAAUAAAACUCCUCCAGCAAGGCCCAACCUUGGUUUUACCAUUUGCCACCUAAGCCAUUUUCCCUUGGGUUCUGCAGACUCAAGGGUCAUCUUUAUUUAACCCCCCGGGCCAGUGCUGCUCUGAGUGUUGUUCCAAACUAGAGCACCAUGCAGGGCCAUACCUUGGCAACUUGGGUUACGUCGGCUCUUGUACGCUUAGCUUAUCCGGUGUGCCCUGAGAACGAGAUAUGUGCAGCUCCUAUCGGGAUUUGUCGGCACGGCAGGUGGUCUUGCUGGUCUUGUUUUACCAUUGUCGAAAUGUCCUGUAACCGGGAUUCCGAGUCUGAUCGGGUCAUCCUGGGAGAAGGAAUAUCCUUCGUUGACCAUGAGAGCUUGUGAUGGGUUAAGUUGGGACACCUCUGCAGGGAUUUGAACUUUCGAAAGCCGUGCCCGCGGUUAUGGGCAGAUGGGAAUUUGUUAAUGUCCGAUUGUAGAAAACUUGUCACUUAACUUUAUUAAAAUGCAUCAACCGCAUGUGUAGCCAUGAUGGUCUCUUCUCGGCGGGGUCCGGGAAGUGAACACGGUGUUAGAGUUAUGCUUGAACGUAAGUAGUUUCAGGAUCACUUCUUGAUCAUAGAUUCUCGAACGUGGCUUGCCUUUUCUUCACGCUCUCAUUUGUGUAUGUUAGCCAACAUUUAUGCUAGUGCUUGCUGCAGCUCCACCGCACAUACCUUUUCCCUAUCCAUAAGCUUAAAUAGUCUUGAUAUCGCGGGUGUGAGAUUGCUGAGUCCCCGUGACUCGCAGUUUACUUUCAAAACCAGUUGCAGGGGUCGAUGAAACCAUGCAGGUGACGCAACCGAGCUCAAGGAGGACCUUAAUGAAGAUCAUGUUUGUUAUGUUGUUUCCGUUUCCAGUUGAUCAGUAGUGGAGCCCAGUUGGGGCGAUCAGGGAUCUGUAGCAUUAGGGAUAGUCUUCUUUUAUUUUGGUUUCAUAGUCGGACCUUGUUUGUAUCUGGAUGUUGUAAUGCUUUAUCCAUGUAUUGUGUGAAGUGGCGAUUGUAAGCCAACUCUGUACCUCUUUCUUAUUCAGUACAUGGGAUGUGUAAAAAUUACCCCUCUUGCGACACUGCCUUCAAUGCGGUUAGGCCUCUAAGUCGUGCUCCGACACGUGGGAGAUAUAGCCGCAUCGAGGGUGUUACAAGGGGUUAGGAAAAGAAUUUGUCCACGGGGGUAAUUUUUCUGGACUCACAAAAAUAUGAGGAAUUUGAAACUAGCAGCUCUCCUUGCUCCUUUGGCCCAGAGCUCCUUGCUAUAGAGGAUGGCUAAAACUCAGAUGUGGAGCUCCCUGCACAUGACAUACUGUGUCAAUGCUUGCAGCAACAGAAAAAAAUCACAUACCAUAGAACUUGCACAGUAAUGUAUCAACCACCAAACAGUAUGAAGCAAAUACAAACAAGAGGGGGAGGAGUUUAUACCUAAUCUUCUUGAGCCCCUCCUUAAGAAAAAGCAUCAUCCAAGGUAAUCAUCUAAACAAGAACACUCCUUAAGAUUCUGGAAAUGCACCAACAUAGUAGUAGUGAAGCUAUGCGAGGAUCUUUGUGAAGCAGUUUAUCACUUCUUGGAGACACCAACAGUCUUUCCUCUCCUGCCCCAGUAGUGAUGCAGACCACGAUGGUUCCUGGGAAAGAGAGCAAGGUUUCAAGCAUAAGUGAUCACUCAUACAUCUAUGCACUAAGGGAAAAUGCUACUGCUGCAAUAGUGAAGUUUUAAGGAAUCAGCCAUCAGGCAUCAGCAUACAUCUAUUGGAAACAGAGCAUUGAUAUAUAGAUCAGCUGGGUCACAUACAAGGUACACUAGAAAGGUAUAAAUGAAUACAUUGACAAUCAUCUAUACCAGAUUGCAAGACAUAACAAUUAUGUACCUAAGAAAGUCGACAAUGGCAUAUGGCAGGAUAUGAAAUCUGGAUACAAGUAAUAGACAAACUAGUUCCAACAGAUUGACUGAAUUGAACUGCUAUAUAACCAAGUUAGAGCUGGCAGAAGUUGUAGGUAAAUAAACAUCCAUAGAGCUAACAGUAGCAAAAGAUGACUUCGGUCUCUGCUUGGCUAAUGAAUCAGUACAUCUUCAAGUGAAAAAUCAUGAAGAUCACACUACGAUGUCCCUAACAAUAGUAGAAGCUCAGAGGUGUGACAAUAUUUCGUAAUAUACAAGCCUUAGCUACAACUUUGUACUUAACAUGCAAAUAAGAAUCAACCACUUAUUGCUUAUUUCAUGCUUCAAAUUUUAUUUUCAGUUUUGUUAGGAUAAUUUGUAUGCAUAGGUACAGUCCUAUACUUGUUUGGGAAGUCAAGAUAUUCAUGUCAACAAUUAUAUAGAGCCAAACAAUAAUUUAAGCAUAGAAUGCAUGUCAUUUCUAUAUAUAACUAAAGCAUAUUCAGCAAGCUACCGAAGCCAACAACUAUGAUUACUUAAGUAGGAAAAUAGUCAUCAUAAGCCUAUAUUUCUUCAGGUUGGGCUCAUGCACCAUGA